Molecule: long non-coding RNA, 1384 nt
Organism: Cyprinus carpio (common carp)
Lineage: Eukaryota; Metazoa; Chordata; Actinopteri; Cypriniformes; Cyprinidae
Source: Ensembl
GGGGUCUGUCAGAGCUUGACAAUGCAGACCAGGAGGGUAAAAUUCCCCAUUGUGCAGUUAGUGGCAGCGCUUGUUAAAGUAGAGUGACUGCCAGAUUGUGUCGCGCCAACUUUCCAGCUCAUGGGAUAUGGUGAACGAGUUUUUAUCUCCCCCAAACAGACACAUCCGACUGCCUCCUGAGGGCUUUUAUGAAGAGAAUGUGAGUCAGUGGGGAAGAUGGCCUCAGGCAAGCAUUUGGGCGAUGGUGUCCUGGUGACAGACCCCUCUCUCCUGUGGAAUGAAGCUUGUCAGAAGACAUCAGCGUGAUUCUCCUCAAGAGAACAUACUGGCCCAAUCUGCAUCACUAGCUGGGGUGGAUGGCUGCCUGUGUCUCGAAUCGUCCUUUGCACUAGAUCAUCUAGAAAGUCUACAGGCAGACUCCCACACCAUAGGAACAAGGCUCUCUGAACUACAAUCUAUUUUACAUGUGAAUUCCAGGACUCUUUGUCUGCAUGUGUGUACAAGUGUGUGUGUCUGUAUGUUCCAUCAGGUCUAUAAAUGUGAUCUGGACUGAACUGGCUAAUUAGACACAGUGGAAUAUGAAGACGGAUGGUGAUUUGAGCAUGCAACUGAAGUCUCCAGGGCAGCAGCUCUGUGUUUGUGUUGUUCCGGGGAGAUAAAUGCCUCCUCGCUGUCCAUGUGUACUGUUGUUCAAAACCCCUGAUAAAUGAUCUUCCCUGUGCCAUCUGAACAUGUGCAUUCAUUCUAAACACAGAUCCCUUAUGCAAAAGCUGCCAUCACAAAAAAAAAAAAAAAAAAAAUGCGGAUGAACAUACUCAUGGGUAAACAAGCUUUGAUACUAAUGAACAGCGGGUAAAUCAACUAAAAAACUAGCUAUUUAAUAUAGCACACAAUUAUGCGGCUUUCUGAAACAUAGUUCAAUUUGUUCAUAUUGAUUGAUUUAUUAGCCAUGUAACAAGUGGAAUACAGCACUCAGUUGGUCAUUAUCACAAAGUAAAUUCCUUAAGGGUGAAACAACUCCCUGCAUUUCACAUUUGGGUCAUGGUAACCCUGUCAGGGUUUAUGGUGUUAUGACUGACCUCAGCUCGCAAAGCGUCUCUCUCAAUUUAACACCACUCUCAACAUCAGUUUUGCAUAUCAAAUUAAUCUGAUCAUAUUUGCAUUAUCAUAUAGCCUAUUGCAAUUCUGAGAUUAACAGCAAGAUAGAUAGAUAGAUAGAUAGAUAGAUAGAUAGAUAGAUAGACACACACAUGCGUGCAUGCACAUGAACCCUUUUUAGAGCAUAUUGUACUUCUUUUAUACUGCUCCUUUAUGGGUUAAGUUUAAGAAAGAGAGCCUAUGUAAGCUUCAAGUUGCGUACAAUGACUGUAUGAGGAUCCUGGUG